CCUACGGGUGGCAGCAGUGAGGAAUAUUGGUCAAUGGCCGGAAGGCUGAACCAGCCAAGUCGCGUGAAGGAUGAAGGUGCUACGCGUUGUAAACUUCUUUUGCCAGGGGACAAAACCAGGCACGUGUGCCUGUCUGAGGGUACCGGACGAAAAAGCACCGGCUAACUCCGUGCCAGCAGCCGCGGUAAUACGGAGGAUGCGAGCGUUAUCCGGAUUUAUUGGGUUUAAAGGGAGCGUAGGCGGGCUGUCAAGUCAGCGGUAAAAGCGCGGGGCUCAACCCCGGCGAGCAGUUGAAACUGGGUGUCUUGAGAUGACAAGAGGUAUGCGGAAUUCGCGGUGUAGCGGUGAAAUGCAUAGAUAUUACGAGGAACCCCGAUUGCGAAGGCAGCAUGCCGGGGUCCGACUGACGCUGAGGCACGAAAGCGUGGGUAUCAAACAGGAUUAGAUACCCGGGUAGUC
This 459-nucleotide ribosomal RNA is filed under the name uncultured bacterium. RNAcentral's name for it is "partial 16S ribosomal RNA". It matches the Rfam family "Bacterial small subunit ribosomal RNA", at positions 338 to 795 of the family's 1533-position model. The record is from RNAcentral.